GAAAUGAACUUCAGAAGACCAAGACCCUUUGGGUAUUUCUAAAGUGAAGUCUGCACACUAGUUUCAAGCAAUGGCUAUGGAGGGUUUCCCAGCUAUUGAGGUGUAUUAUGUGUGUUGGGAUACACAAGAUCCAGCUGAAGCUGGUGAGAUGAGUUUAGGAAUGCCCAAUGGAGGCACUCUAUCAAAUGUUACUGAGUAUGAGAUGAGAAUAACCUGCCCAUGGUCACAUAUUGUGUCAAAGGUGGAAACUAAAUAGAUAUUCUUUUUCCUAAGUGAGUAUUUUAUCCAUCACACCAUUCUGCCUCCUACAUUAUAAUAUUAAUAUUAUUUUUGUACCAUCUUUCCCUAAUUUUGAACUAUCCUUGCAUUCCUAGUAUUACUCAAACUAAUUUAAAAUGGCCAUAAUUUUGUAUAUGUUGUUAUAAUAACUCUACCAGUAUUUUAUUUAGCAUUGGUAUACUUUUGCAUUUUUGUGAUAACAUUUUAUAGAUCUCUUUCUUUGCUUUACCUUUUGCUGGUUUGGGUGAGACAAUCAUGAUUGUCUCAUAGAAAAGGUUGGACAAAGGGCUCCAGUUUCUAUCAAUAGAAACAUUUUCUAUAGCAAAGUUAAUAUUUAUCUUAAAUAUUUGAUGAAGUUCACUUAGUGAAAACUAUCUGUUCCUGAAAUUUUUGUUUUACUUUUAGGAGAUCAUGAAUAAUUUGUUCAAUUCCCUUCUGAAGUUGCUCAAUUUUUUCUUCAUUUUAUUAUCUAGGCUCUAUUUUGUUGAUGCCUUAAAUCUUGUUGGUACAUAAUAGUGCAUAUUUUCUUUUCCUUCCCCACUUUUGAUUUUGAUUAUUUAGUCCUCACUCCACCCCCUAAUUAUAUUUGGAUUUUCUAUCUCUGUUUUGCUUUUUAGUAUUUUUUUGGCAUUUAAAUUUUGUUUAUUUUACUUCAGAUUUUCAAAAUUUCACAUUGCAUUUUUUGGAAUUUAAUAUUUACAUGUUGGUUUUAUUAUUUCAAAAG
Molecule: long non-coding RNA, 1003 nt
Filed under: Phascolarctos cinereus (koala)
Lineage: Eukaryota; Metazoa; Chordata; Mammalia; Diprotodontia; Phascolarctidae
Description: lncRNA (ENSPCIG00000032289.1)
Source: RNAcentral